UGCAUUUAGCUGCCUGUGACAUCCAGU
This 27-nucleotide non-coding RNA is filed under the name Macaca fascicularis (crab-eating macaque). The record is from RNAcentral. Lineage: Eukaryota; Metazoa; Chordata; Mammalia; Primates; Cercopithecidae. RNAcentral also lists the same sequence under 1 other name.